Dipodomys ordii (Ord's kangaroo rat) is the source of this 65-nucleotide non-coding RNA. NCBI's taxonomy places the organism in Eukaryota, Metazoa, Chordata, Mammalia, Rodentia, Heteromyidae. The record is from Rfam.
GGUGGCUCAGUGGUAGAACGCUUGCCUUGCAUGCAUGAGGCCCUGGGUUCGAUUCCCCGGCACCA